Molecule: long non-coding RNA, 209 nt
Organism: Etheostoma cragini (Arkansas darter)
Lineage: Eukaryota; Metazoa; Chordata; Actinopteri; Perciformes; Percidae
Exons: 2
Source: RefSeq, a predicted model, not a curated record
CUAUGAUGAAAUUACACUUGGUCACGAUGAACAAGCUCUAUUAAGCAAUACUUUUGAUAUGAACAAUGAUGAAUAACUGAUUUCAAGUAAAGUAAAAAUGUGUCUAGGAACUCAUUGUUUAGGGCCCAACACACCCACAUGGGUGUGGCAGAUUUAGCCUAUGCUCAGGGUGAAGGUGGGGUCAGACCCCACAUGUAGUAAUAAACAAG